This is a long non-coding RNA of Gopherus flavomarginatus (Mexican gopher tortoise), 282 nucleotides long. RefSeq lists it as uncharacterized. The record is from RefSeq and is a predicted model, not a curated record. The transcript is spliced from 2 exons. NCBI's taxonomy places the organism in Eukaryota, Metazoa, Chordata, Testudines, Testudinidae.
CCAGCAGCGAAACAGUAAGAAGCUCACCUUUUAAAGUGUAUUUUUCUCCCCCCCCCCCCCCCCGGCCUCUUGCUGCUGCUUUAGAAAAGUACUUAAACAAAAACAGUUAUCAGGUAUCUAUCCAUCAGAAUGCAUUAAAAAUUUUAAUCAUAAUUGACAUCUGAGUCCUUGUCUCGCAGAUAGUCAUCUUGACAUGCCAUUUGUGAAACCAGCAAUAUAAGCAUGCUGGAAAAGACACUCACUUUCAAAUCUACUUUGUUUGAAUUUUCAUUUAUCAUUUAA